AUAAAAUCCUCGCAUUUCACAAAAUUUUAUUUUAAGCAUUUGCAGAAGAGUUAAAUAAACGUAGCACACAUUCUAGAUUCAAUAAAAAUUUCAGAAAACCCGACAUUUUAUGUACCAAAAAGGUCCAAACAGAACCGAUGCAAGUGUCAAUAGCUCUCUCUCUUGCUACUGAUUCUUAAAUGAUUUUUACCAGUACCCAAAGGAAUGAAAUCAGCAACUUUCUCCACACUCUCAUCAACACUCCAAUUUUCAAAGCCACAAUUCGCAAACGUCAGUUUGGGCGGGGAGCAGUGGGGGUCUUCAAAUAAUCAAAAAAUUCCUUUUCUCCUCUGACAGUCUACCAACAGAUGUCAAACCAAAUUCAGUCUAUUGUAAAGCACUGGGACCUCCCUUCCAAGGACACGGGACACAAACACAGACACCACUGCACAAAGCUGUCCAAAAGCUCCUGGCCCGACAAUAAAACAAGGGGCCCAGAAAAGAACGAAUCAGAAGCCUCAAUAGGGUCCCGCAGAGACGACGGAAAUUAAAAUAGCAUUUAUUCAGGAGUAAACAGCAACAAAUUAAAGGAAGUUUCCCCAACCGGACUCUUGGGCCUUUCUCUAUUCAAGUUCAGGCUCAAAGCAGAUAUAUUUGCGGGGGUCCCUUCCCCUACAGGCAUCUCAACCGCUGCCAGGGUCCACAGUCGCUCAAAGGGCUGCUGUGCAGGGAGUGUCGGCCAGGUUUGGCGCACUGUCCCAGGUCCCGGGCGAAGGCGGCCAGGGGAAAUGGGUCUUAGAGAUUGCUAAGCAAACGGCACCAUUGGUGGUCUCCAGCGCCUGUAGAGUAGUUCCCAAGUCAAAACUAACAUAUGGAUGGAGUCAGAGAAGGAGAGGAAAGCUGGGCCUUUCCGAAGAGUGGAUCUAUCUGGACUGGAAAUUACCAUUGAAAUUUGCUGCACAUUUUAUGGUGACCCCAAAACUCCUUUGCUUGCUUGCUUUAGAGUAUCAAUGUAUUGCCACUUUACUACCUGGAGCAAGACUAAAUACAUAGAUUCAUAAGUAGAUAUGCACAUACAAUCAUAUACUGCUACUCUCAGGCUAAUUUAGGAAAUUUUUACAUUCCAGAGCAGUAGCACUUUGCAGUUAGAUGAAGAUCAGUUGUGUUUCUUUCUAUGGUGAGUGAAAUGUGUCAGAGGAAAAAUCAAGAUAAUACAUCAUGGAAAAAUACGAAGGAAGUUCUUUAAUAUUUUGUGCUAUAGAAUUUUUAUCUUUCAAGUAUACUUUUUUCUUCUUGUCUACUUAAAU
Molecule: long non-coding RNA, 1286 nt
Filed under: Camelus dromedarius (Arabian camel)
Lineage: Eukaryota; Metazoa; Chordata; Mammalia; Artiodactyla; Camelidae
Description: lncRNA (ENSCDRG00005000135.1)
Source: RNAcentral